Molecule: ribosomal RNA, 497 nt
Filed under: uncultured bacterium
Lineage: Bacteria
Description: partial 16S ribosomal RNA
Rfam family: Bacterial small subunit ribosomal RNA
Source: RNAcentral
GAUGAACGCUGGCGGCGUGCCUAAUACAUGCAAGUCGAGCGAACAGACGAGGAGCUUGCUCCUCUGACGUUAGCGGCGGACGGGUGAGUAACACGUGGAUAACCUACCUAUAAGACUGGGAUAACUUCGGGAAACCGGAGCUAAUACCGGAUAAUAUAUUGAACCGCAUGGUUCAAUAGUGAAAGACGGUUUUGCUGUCCCUUAUAGAUGGAUCCGCGCCGCAUUAGCUAGUUGGUAAGGUAACGGCUUACCAAGGCUACGAUGCGUAGCCGACCUGAGAGGGUGAUCGGCCACACUGGAACUGAGACACGGUCCAGACUCCUACGGGAGGCAGCAGUAGGGAAUCUUCCGCAAUGGGCGAAAGCCUGACGGAGCAACGCCGCGUGAGUGAUGAAGGUCUUCGGAUCGUAAAACUCUGUUAUUAGGGAAGAACAAAUGUGUAAGUAACUAUGCACGUCUUGACGGUACCUAAACAGAAAGCCACGGCUAACUACGUG